This 276-nucleotide ribosomal RNA is filed under the name Coleonyx brevis. RNAcentral's name for it is "partial 12S rRNA". Lineage: Eukaryota; Metazoa; Chordata; Lepidosauria; Squamata; Eublepharidae. The record is from RNAcentral.
AGAGGAGCCUGUCCUAUAAACGAUGCCCCACGUUAAACCUCUCCUUCCCUUGCCCCAUCCAGUCUAUAUACCGCCGUCGUCAGUUCACCUUAUGAGAGCCAUUUAAGUGAGCAAGCCCGUCUAACACAAAAACGUCAGGUCAAGGUGUAGCUAACGAGAAGGUAAGAGAUGGGCUACAUUCUUUACAAAAAAGAUUACAGAAAGCACAAUGAAAUAGUGCCAAAAGGUGGAUUUAGAAGUAGGCUGAACAAGACAAUCCAGCCGAAACCUGCCCUG